GGUUGCUGCAGAGCAUGUUCAAGUGCUGAAUGCGGUGAGAUCAAAGUUUCCUUUUUUUAGUUACCGCGGCAGAUGAUGCUAAAGAGUCCGUCAAAGGGGAGAUCCGUUUGAGAGUAGUGAAACUCAUUUGAAGAUAUCUAGAGGAUGUGCAUAGUUUUCUGGAGGUAGAUUGAGACUCCAAUGCUUUGAUUAUUUGGUGCCCUCAAGAGUUCAGGUAUUUACCAUUUAUUGAGUAGCUUUUAAAUUUUUAUGACAUGCUUCUGUAAAUAUUUAGAUUUUAACAAUUGGA
This 289-nucleotide unclassified non-coding RNA is filed under the name Hevea brasiliensis (rubber tree). Lineage: Eukaryota; Viridiplantae; Streptophyta; Magnoliopsida; Malpighiales; Euphorbiaceae. The record is from RNAcentral.